UCUCCGUUGGUGAACCAGCGGAGGGAUCAUUACCGAGUUUACAACUCCCAAACCCAAUGUGAACCAUACCAAACUGUUGCCUCGGCGGGGUCACGCCCCGGGUGCGUCGCAGCCCCGGAACCAGGCGCCCGCCGGAGGGACCAACCAAACUCUUUCUGUAGUCCCCUCGCGGACGUUAUUUCUUACAGCUCUGAGCAAAAAUUCAAAAUGAAUCAAAACUUUCAACAAUGGAUCUCUUGGUUCUG
Molecule: unclassified non-coding RNA, 245 nt
Filed under: plant metagenome
Description: partial contains small subunit ribosomal RNA, internal transcribed spacer 1, and 5.8S ribosomal RNA
Source: RNAcentral